GACGAACGCUGGCGGCGUGCUUAACACAUGCAAGUCGAACGGAAAGGCCCCUUUGGGGGUACUCGAGUGGCGAACGGGUGAGUAACACGUGAGUAACCUGCCCUUGACUUCGGGAUAACUUCCGGAAACUGGGGCUAAUACCGGCUAGGAAUCCUUGCUGCAUGGUGGGGGUUGGAAAGCUUCGGCGGUUUUGGAUGGACUCGCGGCUUAUCCGCUUGUUGGUGGGGUAGUGGCUUACCAAGGCUGUGACGGGUAGCCGGCCUGAGAGGGCGACCGGCCACAUGGGGACUGAGAGACGGGCCAGAAGGCGACGGGAGGCAGGAGGGGGGAAUAGUGCAGAAUGGGGGGAAGCCGGAGGCGGCAACGCCGCGGGCGGGAUGACGGCCUUCGGGUUGUAAACCGGUGUCAGCAGGGGAGAAGCUUGUGGUGACGGUACCUGCAGAAGAAGCACCGGCUAACUACGUG
Molecule: ribosomal RNA, 465 nt
Filed under: uncultured bacterium
Lineage: Bacteria
Description: partial 16S ribosomal RNA
Rfam family: Bacterial small subunit ribosomal RNA
Source: RNAcentral